Molecule: ribosomal RNA, 356 nt
Filed under: uncultured bacterium
Lineage: Bacteria
Description: bacterial SSU rRNA
Rfam family: Bacterial small subunit ribosomal RNA
Source: RNAcentral
GAGUUUGAUCAUGGCUCAGGAUGAACGCUGGCGGCGUGCUUAACACAUGCAAGUCGAGCGAAGCACUUUUGCGGAUUUCUUCGGAUUGAAGCAACUGUGACUGAGCGGCGGACGGGUGAGUAACGCGUGGGUAACCUGCCUCAUACAGGGGGAUAACAGUUGGAAACGGCUGCUAAUACCGCAUAAGCGCACAGUACCGCAUGGUACGGUGUAGAAAACUCCGGUGGUAUAAGAUGGACCCCGCGUUGGAUUAGCUUGUUGGUGAGGUAACGGCUCACCAAGGCGACGAUCCAUAGCCGGCCUGAGAGGGUGAACGGCCACAUUGGGACUGAGACACGGCCCAGACUCCUACGGGA